Molecule: transfer RNA, 78 nt
Filed under: Candidatus Omnitrophota bacterium
Lineage: Bacteria; Pseudomonadati; Candidatus Omnitrophota
Description: tRNA-Glu
Rfam family: tRNA
About the family: Transfer RNA (tRNA) molecules are approximately 80 nucleotides in length. Their secondary structure includes four short double-helical elements and three loops (D, anti-codon, and T loops).
Source: RNAcentral
GGCCCCAUCGUCUAGCCUGGUCUAGGACGCGAGAUUCUCAUUCUCGUGACACCGGUUCAAAUCCGGUUGGGGCUACCA